RNAcentral lists this ribosomal RNA (408 nucleotides) under uncultured bacterium. Its description in RNAcentral is "partial 16S ribosomal RNA". It matches the Rfam family "Bacterial small subunit ribosomal RNA", at positions 29 to 526 of the family's 1533-position model. The record is from RNAcentral.
AGUGAACGCUGGCGGCGUGCCUAAUACAUGCAAGUCGAACGGAGUGGCGCACGGGUGAGUAAUAUAUAGCUAAUCUGCCCCUUGCUGGAGGACAACAGUUAGAAAUGACUGCUAAUACUCCAUAGCAAGGGAUGAGACUAUAUCGUAUCAGCUGGUCGGUGGGGUAACGGCCUACCGGGUCUAUGACGCGUAACUGGUCUGAGAGGAUGAGCAGUGACAGUGGAGCUGAGACACGGUCCAAACGCCUACGGGAUGGAUCAGUAGGGAAUAUUGCGCAAUGGGGGAAACCCUGACGCAGCAACGCCGCGUGGAGUAUGACGCUUUUCGGGGUGUAAACUCCUUUUGUUAGGGAAGCGGUACCUAACGAGUAAGGGCCGGCUAACUCCGUGCCAGCAGCCGCGGUAAUUC